This 240-nucleotide non-coding RNA is filed under the name Lysinibacillus contaminans. RNAcentral's name for it is "T-box sequence". It matches the Rfam family "T-box leader". From Rfam's summary of the family: Uncharged tRNA acts as the effector for transcription antitermination of genes in the T-box leader family. The record is from RNAcentral. Lineage: Bacteria; Bacillati; Bacillota; Bacilli; Caryophanales; Bacillaceae.
UUGUAGGCCUAGAUUGGAAAUAGUAGAAAUGCCUGUGUACUUGUAGAGAGCCGGUGGUUGGUGCAAAUCGGCAGACACACAUUUUGAACUCGUCCAUGAGCCACUCCCUGAAAAUAAAGAGUAAGGGAUGUCGGUUUCCCCCGUUAUAGGGAUAGACAGUGAUAGCUGUCGAUAAGGGGACUUUUUCUGUAAAGAUAAAGUCAAUUAGAGUGGUACCGCGAGUAAAAACUCGUCUCUAUA